GCGUCCCAAGGAGAUAUAUAUAUAUAUAUAUAUAUAUAUAUAUAUAUAUAUAUAUAUAUAUAUUUCUGUAUGUUU
Podarcis lilfordi (Lilford's wall lizard) is the source of this 75-nucleotide non-coding RNA. Lineage: Eukaryota; Metazoa; Chordata; Lepidosauria; Squamata; Lacertidae. The record is from the annotation of a GenBank genome assembly.